UACAGAGGUCUCAAGCGUUGUUCGGAUUCAUUGGGCGUAAAGCGUGCGUAGGUGGCGAGGUUAGUCAGGUGUGAAAUCUCGGGGCUCAACCCCGAAACUGCACUUGAUACUGCCUUGCUAAAGUACUGGAGAGGAGAUUGGAAUUUACGGUGUAGCAGUGAAAUGCGUAGAUAUCGUAAGGAAGACCAGUGGCGAAGGCGAAUCUCUGGACAGUUACUGACACUGAGGCACGAAGGCCAGGGGAGCAAACGGG
This 253-nucleotide ribosomal RNA is filed under the name uncultured bacterium. RNAcentral describes it as "partial 16S ribosomal RNA". It matches the Rfam family "Bacterial small subunit ribosomal RNA", at positions 524 to 776 of the family's 1533-position model. The record is from RNAcentral.